AACGAACGCUGGCGGCAGGCCUAACACAUGCAAGUCGAACGCCCGUAGCAAUACGGGAGUGGCAGACGGGUGAGUAACGCGUGGGAACGUGCCCUUCGGUUCGGAAUAACUCAGGGAAACUUGAGCUAAUACCGGAUACGUCCGUAAGGAGAAAGAUUUAUCGCCGAAGGAUCGGCCCGCGUCGGAUUAGCUAGUUGGUGAGGUAACGGCCCACCAAGGCGACGAUCCGUAGCUGGUCUGAGAGGANGAUCAGCCACACUGGGACUGAGACACGGCCCAGACUCCUACGGGAGGCAGCAGUGGGGAAUAUUGGACAAUGGGCGAAAGCCUGAUCCAGCCAUGCCGCGUGAGUGAAGAAGGCCUUAGGGUUGUAAAGCUCUUUCAGCGGGAAGAUAAUGACGGUACCCGCAGAAGAAGCCCCGGCUAACUUCGUGCCAGCCGCCGCCGUAAC
Molecule: ribosomal RNA, 451 nt
Filed under: uncultured bacterium
Lineage: Bacteria
Description: bacterial SSU rRNA
Rfam family: Bacterial small subunit ribosomal RNA
Source: RNAcentral